ACACUGAUUACCUGUUGAUUGAACCAAAUUGGAAAUAUUAAUAUUAUGAUUCAGUGCUUUAUAGCGCUUGUAAAGUGUCUGUCUUAAAUAAGUAAUGACCUUCAGCAUAAGCAUCUACCAUAUUAUAAACGAAAUAAACCCUAAAACCUCCACGAAUAAGCUGUCAAUCGAUUCAAGCUCCAAUAACCACGUUUCAGUACGUACUUUUUUUGUGAACUUUCCAAACCGCCAGAGCAAUCGACAGGAACUACGUUAGCAAUAUUGGAAAAUAUAAAAUAUAUUUUUAUAUUUCUUAAAAAACUUAAAACUAAUCGAUCCAAACAGGGUUAGAUCGCCGAAAGGGCAGCCCUUGACCGGAUAAAAUCCGGGUCAACUCCGGUGCGUAGAACCGGCUGCUGUGGGAGUCGUGGGAGUCGUUUUUAUAUUU
Molecule: long non-coding RNA, 427 nt
Organism: Zeugodacus cucurbitae (melon fly)
Lineage: Eukaryota; Metazoa; Arthropoda; Insecta; Diptera; Tephritidae
Exons: 2
Source: RefSeq, a predicted model, not a curated record